Molecule: ribosomal RNA, 253 nt
Filed under: uncultured bacterium
Lineage: Bacteria
Description: partial 16S ribosomal RNA
Rfam family: Bacterial small subunit ribosomal RNA
Source: RNAcentral
UACGGAGGGUGCAAGCGUUAAUCGGAAUUACUGGGCGUAAAGCGUGCGCAGGCGGUUUUGUAAGUCUGAUGUGAAAUCCCCGGGCUCAACCUGGGAAUUGCAUUGGAGACUGCAAGGCUAGAAGCUGGCAGAGGGGGGUAGAAUUCCACGUGUAGCAGUGAAAUGCGUAGAGAUGUGGAGGAACACCGAUGGCGAAGGCAGCCCCCUGGGUCAAGAUUGACGCUCAUGCACGAAAGCGUGGGGAGCAAACAGG